Molecule: ribosomal RNA, 253 nt
Filed under: uncultured bacterium
Lineage: Bacteria
Description: partial 16S ribosomal RNA
Rfam family: Bacterial small subunit ribosomal RNA
Source: RNAcentral
GACGUAGGGCGCGAGCGUUGUCCGGAUUUAUUGGGCGUAAAGAGCUCGUAGGCGGCUUGUCGCGUCGACUGUGAAAACCCGCGGCUCAACUGCGGGCCUGCAGCCGAUACGGGCAGGCUGGAGUUCGGUAGGGGAGACUGGAAUUCCUGGUGUAGCGGUGGAAUGCGUAGAGAUCGGGAAGAACACCAGUGGCGAAGGCGGCGAGCUGGCCUUGAACUGACGCUGAGGCGCGACAGCGUGGGGAGCAAACAGG